GGAAUCUUCCACAAUGGACGAAAGUCUGAUGGAGCAACGCCGCGUGAGUGAAGAAGGGUUUCGGCUCGUAAAACUCUGUUGUUAAAGAAGAACAUAUCUGAGAGUAACUGUUCAGGUAUUGACGGUAUUUAACCAGAAAGCCACGGCUAACUACGUGCCCG
Molecule: ribosomal RNA, 161 nt
Filed under: uncultured bacterium
Lineage: Bacteria
Description: partial 16S rRNA
Rfam family: Bacterial small subunit ribosomal RNA
Source: RNAcentral